RNAcentral lists this transfer RNA (72 nucleotides) under Cordylochernes scorpioides. Its description in RNAcentral is "tRNA-His". The record is from RNAcentral. Lineage: Eukaryota; Metazoa; Arthropoda; Arachnida; Pseudoscorpiones; Chernetidae.
UUCCAUGACCAGGAUUCAAACCUGGGUUAUCAAGGCCACAAUGCAAUAUCCUAACCACUAGACGAUCACGGC